UACGUAGGUCCCGAGCGUUGUCCGGAUUUAUUGGGCGUAAAGCGAGCGCAGGUGGUUUAUUAAGUCUGGUGUAAAAGGCAGUGGCUCAACCAUUGUAUGCAUUGGAAACUGGUAGACUUGAGUGCAGGAGAGGAGAGUGGAAUUCCAUGUGUAGCGGUGAAAUGCGUAGAUAUAUGGAGGAACACCGGUGGCGAAAGCGGCUCUCUGGCCCGUAACUGACACUGAGGCUCGAAAGCGUGGGGAGCAAACAGG
Molecule: ribosomal RNA, 252 nt
Filed under: uncultured bacterium
Lineage: Bacteria
Description: partial 16S ribosomal RNA
Rfam family: Bacterial small subunit ribosomal RNA
Source: RNAcentral